UUGGAAAGUCUGAUGGUAAUUUUCUAUAAAAUACUCUUAAUUAAAAAUUUUUAAAGUUAUUUAGGAUAAGAAUCCUGGUAUUUAAAAUAAAUUAUUUAUCAUAUAAUGCAAAUAGUUAAUAAAUUAUAAUAAAUAUGAUAGUGCAAUUGUAAAUAAGCCUAUGGUUAGCUUUUAUUUUAGUUAGCUUCAAAUUAAAACAAAAAUCAGCUUUA
Molecule: non-coding RNA, 212 nt
Filed under: Dactylella tenuis
Lineage: Eukaryota; Fungi; Ascomycota; Orbiliomycetes; Orbiliales; Orbiliaceae
Source: RNAcentral